Molecule: ribosomal RNA, 253 nt
Filed under: uncultured prokaryote
Description: partial 16S ribosomal RNA
Rfam family: Bacterial small subunit ribosomal RNA
Source: RNAcentral
UACGUAGGGGGCAAGCGUUAUCCGGAUUUACUGGGUGUAAAGGGAGCGUAGGUGGCUGUGCAAGUCUGAUGUGAAAACCCGGGGCUUAACCCCGGGACUGCAUUGGAAACUGUGCAGCUAGAGUGCAGGAGAGGUAAGUGGAAUUCCUAGUGUAGCGGUGAAAUGCGUAGAUAUUAGGAGGAACACCAGUGGCGAAGGCGGCUUACUGGACUGUAACUGACACUGAGGCUCGAAAGCGUGGGGAGCAAACAGG